AUAAAUACAUUUGAUGAUGAUGAUGAUAUUAACAAACUUACCAAGUGACCUGUGAUGAAAUCUAUUGUAGAAUAAAUGGAACCUGGAUCCAUUUCAUUCCAUUAACAUGGUUUAUGUGUGUUAUAGCAGUAAUGGGGUUAAACUGAUAUUAAAAUGACAACUCCAUAGGUGGUACCAGGUCAGGGGAGUUCAUCUCUGCUCCCAGCAUCCCUGGGACAGUACUGAUCAACAUAGCUGACCUGAUGCAGAGGUGGACCAGUGAUGUUUUCCUCUCAGUGGUCCAUAGGGUUUUACUGCCCCCUGCUGGAGACUGGAGCACACUGCAGUCCCUGGCUUUCUUUGUGCAGCUGAAGGAUGAGGUCCUCAUCACCUGUUGUGAUGGGUCCAACAAAUAUCCCCAGGUGAAGGCAGGGUCCUAUCUCAUCCAUCAUUCCUUGAAUGUAAUUAGUUUGUGUAUUGUAAUUAUGUUAUUGAAACAGAAUAAGUCAUUAAUGAGAGAAUAAAUAAGUCCAGUCCAA
Molecule: non-coding RNA, 518 nt
Organism: Salmo salar (Atlantic salmon)
Lineage: Eukaryota; Metazoa; Chordata; Actinopteri; Salmoniformes; Salmonidae
Source: RefSeq, a predicted model, not a curated record